AUGCCCCCUACCCACAAAGGGGGAGGAUUCAGGUAGGCGGGUUCUGAGAGGAUGAUCCGUCACACCUGAACUGAGAACGGCAGACUCUACGGGAGGCAGCAGUGGGAUUUGGACAAUGGGGCACCUGAUCCAGCAUUCCGCGUGAGUGAAGAAGGCCUUCGGGUGUAAGCUCUUUCAGCUUGAACGAAACGGUACGCUCUAACAUAGCGUGCUAAUGACGGUACCGGCAGAAGAAGCACCGGCUAACUACGUGCCAGCAGCCGCGGUAAUACGUAGGGUGCGAGCGUUAAUCGGAAUUACUGGGCGUAAAGCGUGCGCAGGCGGAUUGUUAAGCAAGACGUGAAAGCCCCGGGCUUAACCUGGGAAUGGCGUUUUGAACUGGCAGUCUAGAGUGCGUCAGAGGGGGGUGGAAUUCCACGUGUAGCAGUGAAAUGCGUAGAGAUGUGGAGGAACACCAAUGGCGAAGGCAGCCCCCUGGGAUGACACUGACGCUCAUGUACGAAAGCGUGGGUAGCAAACAGGAUUAGAUACCCUGGUAGUCCACGCCCUAAACGAUGUCAACUGGUUGUUGGGGGAGUGAAAUCCCUUAGUAACGAAGCUAACGCGUGAAGUUGACCGCCUGGGGAGUACGGUCGCAAGAUUAAAACUCAAAGGAAUUGACGGGGACCCGCACAAGCGGUGGAUGAUGUGGAUUAAUUCGAUGCAACGCGAAAAACCUUACCUACCCUUGACAUGUCCGGAAUCCUGAAGAGAUUUGGGAGUGCCCGAAAGGGAAUCGGAACACAGGUGCUGCAUGGCUGUCGUCAGCUCGUGUCGUGAGAUGUUGGGUUAAGUCCCGCAACGAGCGCAACCCUUGUCAUUAGUUGCUACGCAAGAGCACUCUAAUGAGACUGCCGGUGACAAACCGGAGGAAGGUGGGGAUGACGUCAAGUCCUCAUGGCCCUUAUGGGUAGGGCUUCACACGUCAUACAAUGGUCGGUACAGAGGGUUGCCAAGCCGCGAGGUGGAGCCAAUCCCAGAAAGCCGAUCGUAGUCCGGAUCGCAGUCUGCAACUCGACUGCGUGAAGUCGGAAUCGCUAGUAAUCGCGGAUCAGCAUGCCACGGUGAAUACGUUCCCGGGUCUUGUACACACCGCCCGUCACACCAUGGGAGUGGGUUUCACCAGAAGAGGCUAGCCUAACCGUAAGGGGGGCGGUCGCCACGGUGAGAUUCAUGACUGGGGUGAAGUCGUAACAAGGUAGCCGU
Molecule: ribosomal RNA, 1245 nt
Filed under: iron-reducing bacterium enrichment culture clone FeC_1_A5
Lineage: Bacteria
Description: bacterial SSU rRNA
Rfam family: Bacterial small subunit ribosomal RNA
Source: RNAcentral